RNAcentral lists this long non-coding RNA (211 nucleotides) under Lathyrus oleraceus (garden pea). Its description in RNAcentral is "Pisum sativum (pea) long non-coding RNA (PSAT_LNC022243)". Lineage: Eukaryota; Viridiplantae; Streptophyta; Magnoliopsida; Fabales; Fabaceae. The record is from RNAcentral.
UUUUCCCUUUUCUGCCUCUUUUCCCUUUUCACGUGAAAAUAACCUUUUUACCAAAAAUGGGAUUUUUCUCAAUUCCAAUUUAUAUAUAUUUUCCGAAUAAUAAUAAUAAUCCAAAAAUAAUAAUAAUAAAAUUUCCAAUUAUUUAAUUAAAUUAAUAAAUAAAUUAUUAACCCAAUUUAAAUAAUUAUUUUAUUAUUAUCGGGGUGUUACA